This 956-nucleotide ribosomal RNA is filed under the name Pseudomonas syringae pv. syringae. RNAcentral's name for it is "bacterial SSU rRNA". It matches the Rfam family "Bacterial small subunit ribosomal RNA", at positions 140 to 1092 of the family's 1533-position model. Lineage: Bacteria; Pseudomonadati; Pseudomonadota; Gammaproteobacteria; Pseudomonadales; Pseudomonadaceae. The record is from RNAcentral.
GGGAUAACGCUCGGAAACGGACGGUAAUCCCGCAUACGUCCUACGGGAGAAAGCAGGGGACCUUUCGGCCUUGCGCUAUCAGAUGAGCCUAGGUCGGAUUAGCUAGUUGGCGCGGUAGCAGCUCACGAAGGCGACGAUCCGUAACUGGUCUGAGAGGAUGAUCAGUCACACUGGAACUGAGACACGGUCCAGACUCCUACGGUAAGCACCAGUGGGGAAUAUUGGACAAUGGGCGAAAGCCUGAUCCAGCCAUGCCGCGUGUGUGAAGAAGGUCUUCGGAUUGUAAAGCACUUUAAGUUGGUAGGUUCGGCAGUUACCUAAUACGUGAUUGUUUUGACGUUCCCGACCGUAUAAGCACCGGCUAACUCUGUGCCAGCAGCCGCGGUAAUACAGAGGGUGCAAGCGUUAAUCGGAAUUACUGGGCGUAAAGCGCGCGUAGGUGGUUUGUUAAGUUGAAUGUGAAAUCCCCGGGCUCAACCUGGAACUGCAUACAAAUCUGGCAAGCUAGAGUAUGGUAGAGGGUGGUGGAAUUUCCUGUGUAGCGGUGAAAUGCGUAGAUAUAGGAAGGAACACCGCUGUCGAAGGCGACCACCUGGACUGAUACUGACACUGAGGUGCGAAAGCGUGGGGAGCAAACAGGAUUAGAUACCCUGGUAGUCCACGCCGUAAACGAUGUCAACUAACCGUUGGGAGCCUUGAGCUCUUAGUGGUGCGGCUGACGCAUUAAGUUGACCGCCUGGGGAGUACGGCCGCAAGGUUAAAACUCAAAUGAAUUGACGGGGGCCCGCACAAGCGGUGGAGGAUGUGGAAUAAUUCGAAGCAACGCGAAGAACCUUACCAGGCCUUGACAUCCAAUGAACUUUCCAGAGAUGGAUUGGUGGCAGCUCGUACAUUGAGACAGGCACUGCAAGGCUGUCGUCAGCUCGUGUCGUGAGAUGUUGGGUUAAGUCCCGCAA